This 73-nucleotide transfer RNA is filed under the name Ailuropoda melanoleuca (giant panda). It matches the Rfam family "tRNA". From Rfam's summary of the family: Transfer RNA (tRNA) molecules are approximately 80 nucleotides in length. Their secondary structure includes four short double-helical elements and three loops (D, anti-codon, and T loops). Further hydrogen bonds mediate the characteristic L-shaped molecular structure. tRNAs have two regions of fundamental functional importance: the anti-codon, which is responsible for specific mRNA codon recognition, and the 3' end, to which the tRNAs corresponding amino acid is attached (by aminoacyl-tRNA synthetases). tRNAs cope with the degeneracy of the genetic code in two manners: having more than one tRNA (with a specific anti-codon) for a particular amino acid; and 'wobble' base-pairing, i.e. permitting non-standard base-pairing at the 3rd anti-codon position. The record is from Rfam by way of RNAcentral. Lineage: Eukaryota; Metazoa; Chordata; Mammalia; Carnivora; Ursidae.
ACCUGGCUGGCUCAGUUGGUAAAGCAUGUGACCUUUGGUCUCAAGGUUGUGAGUUCAAGCCUCAUGUUGGGUG